AGUGAACGCUGGCGGUAGGCCUAACACAUGCAAGUCGAACGGCAGCACAGUAAGAGCUUGCUCUUACGGGUGGCGAGUGGCGGACGGGUGAGGAAUACAUCGGAAUCUACUUUUUCGUGGGGGAUAACGUAGGGAAACUUACGCUAAUACCGCAUACGACCUACGGGUGAAAGCAGGGGAUCUUCGGACCUUGCGCGAUUGAAUGAGCCGAUGUCGGAUUAGCUAGUUGGCGGGGUAAAGGCCCACCAAGGCGACGAUCCGUAGCUGGUCUGAGAGGAUGAUCAGCCACACUGGAACUGAGACACGGUCCAGACGCCUACGGGAGGCAGCAGUGGGAAAUAUUGGACAAUGGGCGCAAGCCUGAUCCAGCCAUACCGCGUGGGUGAAGAAGGCCUUCGGGUUGUAAAGCCCUUUUGUUGGGAAAGAAAAGCAGCAGGUUAAUACCCCGCUGUUCUGACGGUACCCAAAGAAUAAGCACCGGCUAACUUCGUG
Molecule: ribosomal RNA, 492 nt
Filed under: uncultured bacterium
Lineage: Bacteria
Description: partial 16S ribosomal RNA
Rfam family: Bacterial small subunit ribosomal RNA
Source: RNAcentral